AAGAGCAGCGACUUAAGAGAUGUCUUUAGAUUGAAGUCCAAAAUUGCAUUCCAAAGUACAAACUGGAUCAGAGGGAAAGAUCAAGAAUAGCUCUUUUGAAAACUUCUGGAGAAAUCCCCUUCACUCUGAUGAAAAUUUGCACUUUAAUGCAUCCACCAGGACACUAUGCCUAAUGCCAGAGAGCCCCAGCAGAGUGCAGAUAUUAGGAGGCUACAUUCAGAGCCUAGGAUAGAACGUUAUUUAAACUUUACAGUUCUGGGAGAUCAAAACUUCUGAAUCCACAAUAUAAAGAGGUAGUGAGGCCAUUUUAUGCACAGUGGGUGGCUGCAUACAAGCAUUUAAGACUCUUGAGAGGAUACAGUGCAUGAGAGAGACCAAAGUGAUGACUAUCAGGAGGAUAAUACCAAGAGGCUGAAAUAUUCCCUAUAACCAAAGACUCUG
This is a long non-coding RNA of Symphalangus syndactylus (siamang), 441 nucleotides long. RefSeq lists it as uncharacterized. Lineage: Eukaryota; Metazoa; Chordata; Mammalia; Primates; Hylobatidae. The record is from RefSeq and is a predicted model, not a curated record.